RNAcentral lists this ribosomal RNA (254 nucleotides) under uncultured bacterium. Its description in RNAcentral is "partial 16S ribosomal RNA". It matches the Rfam family "Bacterial small subunit ribosomal RNA", at positions 524 to 776 of the family's 1533-position model. The record is from RNAcentral.
UACGGGGGGGGCAAGUGUUAUUCAAUCAAACUGGGCGUAAAGCGUCUUUAGGCUGUUUAUUGCGAGUUUUUCACUAAAGUACAAAGAGUAAUCUUGUAAUGUUGAAAAAGACCAGUAUUCUUGAGUUUUGAAGGGGUAAGUAGUAUUUCUUCAGUAAAGUUAAAAUUUAUAGAUAGAAGAAGGAGUACCAGGGGAGAAGACAACUUACUAGUUAAAACUGACGUUAAAGGACUAAAGCAUAGGGAGCGAUCGGG